UACGUAGGGUGCGAACGUUAAUCGGAAUUACUGGGCGUAAAGCGUGCGCAGGCGGUUUUGUAAGUCAGAUGUGAAAUCCCCGGGCUUAACCUGGGAACUGCGUUUGAAACUACAAGGCUAGAGUGUGGCAGAGGGGGGUGGAAUUCCACGUGUAGCAGUGAAAUGCGUAGAGAUGUGGAGGAACACCGAUGGCGAAGGCAGCCCCCUGGGUUAACACUGACGCUCAGGCACGAAAGCGUGGGGAGCAAACAGG
RNAcentral lists this ribosomal RNA (253 nucleotides) under uncultured bacterium. RNAcentral's name for it is "partial 16S ribosomal RNA". It matches the Rfam family "Bacterial small subunit ribosomal RNA", at positions 524 to 776 of the family's 1533-position model. The record is from RNAcentral.